This 3405-nucleotide long non-coding RNA is filed under the name Sus scrofa (pig). Its description in RNAcentral is "lncRNA (ENSSSCG00000054222.1)". The record is from RNAcentral. Lineage: Eukaryota; Metazoa; Chordata; Mammalia; Artiodactyla; Suidae.
UUUUUUUUUUUUUUUUUUUUUUUGCUUUCUUACAAAUUAUCUUCCUGAAGCAGAGAAGUCAGACGUAGGUCUUUCCUGUAAGUUCUGGAACAGGCCUUUCAUUUUCUUCCAGCAAAGUCUUCCAGAGCCUGACGUCUUCUUUUUCUUUUGGGUACUAAACCUAAUGUUCUCAGUCUGAAUGGUAGAAAGAUUAUCUCUGUGCUAUUAUGGAAGAAAAUUGUGAUUAGAGUCUAAAUAAUGGAAGCCUUGGAUCAACUUAGAACGAGGAGUUAACAAAGAUGAAACUCUAUUGGCUUAAUAGCCCCAAGGAAUUAUCCUCCACACCAACAACUACUUCCUUCUUGCUCUGUGUAAUUCAGAACUGAGUUAAAAGAACUUGGCUUUCCACAAUAGUGUGUCAUUCAAAGAAUGACUUUUUCAAACAAUAUUUCAUUAUAUGACUAUUUUAAUUUUUCAUCAUUUUUGUCAUCAUUGUCUUUUUGCUUUAAUUCUGUACUGAGGUAAUUUCUCAAAGGGCACAAUUUUUAAAAAUCAAGUCAGAAAAUUGUACCUGAACUGUAAAAAAAAGUAAGCAAUUUUGAUGGGUGUUUGGCAGUUUUCCACUGUCUCCUUAUUUCCUGCUUUCAUUCAUUGGUGCUUUGCCCCUGCCUCUGAGGUCAUUUGAGACUUCCUUGUAAAGUGAGCUUCUUCAAAGGCUGCAUGGCUUCUGAUAUCAACAUAUUUUCCCCACAUUGCUUUUUCCUUCAAAUUCCAUCUUUUACCUCUACAUGUUUGCUUUCCUAAGUUAAAUAAAGAUAUGUACAUAAAGAAUAGCUUGCAUUUCUCUUAAAUUUAUAAUGCAGUGUGUUCUGAAUUCUUAGACUCCUUUCAUCAUGUCAUAUUGGUGUUUAUAAUUGACAUGAACAUAUAUUCUUUUAGAGAGUGGGCUUUGAAGUAAAAAUUCCUUGGUUCUGAGAGACUGAAUAAACCAAGGUACAAUGGCCAAACAAUACAUGAAAACAGAACUCUGACCCAAAACCUGCAGUAAUUAGACUAGGAAGCCAAGCCCCUACUUAGGUAGCAGUUGGCUCUAAACAGUCAAGACUUGAUCAAUAACGUCUACUUUCCCUAAUUCCGCCCCCCCAACCCAUUUCAGCAUAGGACAGAGAAAACCAACUAUGCUCCCUUCACCAAUCACAUAGUAUGUGCUCCCUUCUGGUCAGUCUGCUCCAACUUCUCCAUGUCAGCAUCCUCCAAUUAGAGCAUACUUGAAGCAUCCCACUUUCCAACUCCCCUGCCUGCCUUUGAGUCUCUGCCAGAUGCAAACGAUGAUAGCUUCUCCCUUUCUAGAGCAAGUUCUGAAUAAAUAGUGAUUGCUUUUUCUCCUUUGGGUGGUCUGCAUUUAUUUUCACUGUUCAAUCCUAUUACUGUCACUUAUGAGUUAUAUAACUUUUUGUAUGUUUCUUAACCUUGAUGAGUCAGUUUCCGCAUUCUAAGGGGAGAUGUUAGAAACACCUACCACAUAGAAUCAAAUCAGUGACUAAAAUGCAUGUAAAACUCCUAAAAAUUGUCUGGUAUGCUAUAAGCCCAUAAUAGGUCUCAUUAUUUUUAUCCAUUAUAUUUCUUUAUUAUUAGAUAUGAGGAAAUAAACUAAGAGAAUAAAAGACUUGCUUGAAGUCCAAAGAACUUAAAUGUCUGAGCUGGGUGCAAAGUCUGCUUUGUUUAAGUCUAGUGUUGCUUCUCCUAAUUCAAGAAAACUCUUCUUUCCAUGCAGAGUACAAUCAGCAGAUGUUUUCUAAAUGAAUGCAUGAAAGAAUAAGUAAUUGAGCAGACUACAUGGUUACAUAAGCUGCAAAUACAAGAAUGGAUAAGGGGACAAAUCAUUUAAUCAACCAAAAAAAAAAAAUGUAUGUGUCCAGAACCAAGCUGUUAAGUCUUAUAAGGAGGUAAAACGAUUUUAGACCUGGAAAGUAUAUUAGAGAUCAUUUAGUUGUAUAAUUUUCAAACUUUUUCAAACUCCACAACACAACUUUAGAAAGAAAAAAGUCACCACAGUAAUCCUUAAAUAGUAACAAAAUAAACUAAACUUUAAUCAUAAGUAAUUUUGGUUUUAAACGAAAGACUGAGAGAAAUUUUCAAUUCUUUCUUGAACUUGACUCUUCCUAUAAAUACUGUUUGUUAAAUAUCUACCACAUCAACCAUAAUGUCUAGGAGAUGGUUAAAUCAUGACCAAAAGAAGUCGCUGAAACACUUUAUUGAGACUUAAGCAUUUUAGCUUGGAUUCUCUCAAAAGCAGACCCUGGGACAAGGAUUUGUGUACAUGUAGAUUUGAGAGACAACCCCAGGAAAUACUUGAAGUAGUGGGGAGUGAGAUAGGAAAUAGAGUAGAGGCAAUAAAAGAUGUAUUGAUAAGCUUAUUAUUGUUAUGGGUAACCAGAGCUCAGUAAUUCUUUGAAAAAUCUGAGCGACAGUGAGAAAUGUCUACAGAUUUAUUCCCAUGAGGUGUAAGGAGACUGAGAUUUCAGCCCCUCUUGGAUUGAUGGGUGGUAGCUCCCAUGUACUCCUUGCAUCUCCUGCAGACUAGUGGCUCUCAGACCACAGGAGACCAUCUCCAGCCAGAAAGAGAUAGGAAGUGAUAGGUAUUCUUGGGAAUUGUCUGCCCACAAGCAACAGGAUAACCAAAGUGGUACAACUUGGGCAGGACAAUGUCUGCUGCACAAAACCUUAACUCAGAAGAAAUUUGUGUCUUUAUCAAAAUUAGUAAUAAUGUAUACCACAUCUUCUUUAUCCAUUCAUCUGUCAGUGAACAUUUAGGUUACUUCUAUUUCUUGGCUAUAAAAAUAAAUAGUAAAUAGUGCUGCAAUGAAUGUUAGGUGCAUGUAUCUUUUUGAAUCUUUUUAUUAUUAUACAAUGGAAUAGUACCAAGCCACAAAAAGGAUGAUAUAAUGCCAUUUGCAGCAACAUAGAUGGAUUGAGAAAUUCUGAAGUAAGUUAGACUGAGAAAGAGAAAUGUCAUAUGAUAUCUCUUAUUUGUGGAAUAUAAGAAAAUGAUACUUAUUUACAAAACAGAAAUAGACUCACAUAGAAAACAAACUUAUAGUUACCAAAGGGGAAAAGAGGGGAAGGGAUGAAUUAGGAGUUUAGGAUUAACAGACACAUAUUACUUUAUAUAAACUAGAUAAGCAACAAGGAGCUACACUCAAUAUUUUGUAAUAACCUAUAAGGGAAAAUAAUUUGAAAAAAAUUAGAUAUCUAUAUAUGUAUAACUGAAUCACUUUGCUGUACACCUGAACGUAACAGACCGUACAGUUGUAAAUUAACUAUACUUCAAUAACAAAAGAAAAAAACGGUAAUAUUAUAAAAGGCAAAUGAUAAACUAGAGAAAAAAUAUGACAAAUACUUCCAUUUUUCAUAUAUAAAUAAUAC